GGAGCUUGCUCCCGGAUGUUAGCGGCGGACGGGUGAGUAACACGUGGGUAACCUGCCUGUAAGACUGCUAUAACUCCGGGAAACCGGAGCUAAUACCGGAUAGUUCCUUGAACCGCAUGGUUCAAGGAUGAAACCCGUUUCGGCUGUCACUUACAGAUGGACCCGCGGCGCAUUAGCUAGUUGGUGGGGUAAUGGCUCACCAAGGCGACGAUGCGUAGCCGACCUGAGAGGGUGAUCGGCCACACUGGGACUGAGACACGGCCCAGACUCCUACGGGAGGCAGCAGUAGGGAAUCUUCCGCAAUGGACGAAAGUCUGACGGAGCAACGCCGCGUGAGUGAUGAAGGUUUUCGGAUCGUAAAGCUCUGUUGUUAGGGAAGAACAAGUGCGAGAGUAACUGCUCGCACCUUGACGGUACCUAACNCAGAAAGCCACGGCUAACUACGUGCCAGCAGCCGCGGUAAUACGUAGGUGGCAAGCGUUGUCCGGAAUUAUUGGGCGUAAAGGGCUCGCAGGCGGUUUCUUAAGUCUGAUGUGAAAGCCCCCGGCUCAACCGGGGAGGGUCAUUGGAAACUGGGAAACUUGAGUGCAGAAGAGGAGAGUGGAAUUCCACGUGUAGCGGUGAAAUGCGUAGAGAUGUGGAGGAACACCAGUGGCGAAGGCGACUCUCUGGUCUGUAACUGACGCUGAGGAGCGAAAGCGUGGGGAGCGAACAGGAUUAGAUACCCUGGUAGUCCACGCCGUAAACGAUGAGUGCUAAGUGUUAGGGGGUUUCCGCCCCUUAGUGCUGCAGCUAACGCAUUAAGCACUCCGCCUNGGGGAGUACGGUCGCAAGACUGAAACUCAAAGGAAUUGACGGGGGCCCGCACAAGCGGGUGGAGCAUGUGGUUUAAUUCGAAGCAACGCGAAGAACCUUACCANGGUCUUGACAUCCUCUGACAACCCUAGAGAUAGGGCUUUCCCUUCGGGGACAGAGUGACAGGUGGUGCAUGGUUGUCGUCAGCUCGUGUCGUGAGAUGUUGGGUUAAGUCCCGCAACGAGCGCAACCCUUGAUCUUAGUUGCCAGCNAUUUAGUUGGGCACUCUAAGGUGACUGCCGGUGACAAACCGGAGGAAGGUGGGGAUGACGUCAAAUCAUCAUGCCCCUUAUGACCUGGGCUACACACGUGCUACAAUGGACAGAACAAAGGGCUGCGAGACCGCAAGGUUUAGCCAAUCCCAUAAAUCUGUUCUCAGUUCGGAUCGCAGUCUGCAACUCGACUGCGUGAAGCUGGAAUCGCUAGUAAUCGCGGAUCAGCAUGCCGCGGUGAAUACGUUCCCGGGCCUUGUACACACCGCCCGUCACACCACGAGAGUUUGCAACACCCGAAGUCGGUG
RNAcentral lists this ribosomal RNA (1375 nucleotides) under Bacillus pumilus. Its description in RNAcentral is "bacterial SSU rRNA". It matches the Rfam family "Bacterial small subunit ribosomal RNA", at positions 75 to 1432 of the family's 1533-position model. The record is from RNAcentral. Lineage: Bacteria; Bacillati; Bacillota; Bacilli; Caryophanales; Bacillaceae.